AGGAGGGCAGAGGACGGCUGCCCCCGCAGGAGCGUUUCCUCCGGGCGGUCCCCGCCCCCAGGCCCCUCAUCCUGGCGGCCUCGAGCCUGGGCUCACGUAGGCCCUUCGCUAGCAGCGGCCAGACUUCACCCUUGGGGCUUUGGGACGGCGCUUUCGGGUGGAGGGAGGAGGGAGGCCCUCGGAAGGGGCUCUCAGGGGCCCAAGGGGAGCGCCUCGUGUAGUAGUCGCCCUGCUGGCGGGGUCCCUGGGUUCUAGCAGUGCCUGACACACAUCAGGUUCCUAGGAAAUACUGCUGAAAAGACAUGAAAACCAGGCCUGGAGCUCUGUAUCUGAUGACCACUAGAGAGAGCUGAAAGGCAGGAAUCAAGGGCCUUUGAAGAACAGCCUCCUCAACCUCCUGGGUGGAAAUAUUGACCUGUCAUGAAAACUAAGAGAUGGAGGAAUUGGUCUUUCACUAUGUCAAUAGCCACUGGCCCUCCCUGCACCACGCCAGCUCACUGUCCUUAGUCCUCCUCUGCCUGCUGAGAUGAAAGGAGUUUCUUCACAUUUGACAGGGGCCAUCCCAGUGCCUAUCCAGAGAAUCUUGGCCUGCACUGUCUUGACUUGGGAGUUCCCUCAACUUAAAG
Urocitellus parryii (Arctic ground squirrel) is the source of this 626-nucleotide long non-coding RNA. RefSeq lists it as uncharacterized. Lineage: Eukaryota; Metazoa; Chordata; Mammalia; Rodentia; Sciuridae. The record is from RefSeq and is a predicted model, not a curated record.